AGCAAUGUGAUGGGUAAAUAUCAGUUAAAGUAAGUUGUACUUACAAACUUUAUUGUACUUUUACAGACAAUUCAUCAAUUAAACUUUGUGUCAAGUUUACUUUUAAUUCAAUAAUAAUUAAGGAAUACACAAAUGUGACAAUUUUGACUGAAGUUUUCUAUUUGUAUCAUAACAUGAAUACCAAUUACUUUUAAAUGCCAUUAAUGGUUUACAUAUUUUUUUCAGUACAUGCAUGAAGAUGACUUGGAGGCAAUGGUGUCAUACAAGUUAGUUUUAACUAUGAUAGCCUAACUGAAAUUUGAAAAAAAGUAAUCAGAGAAAAAGAGUGACCACUUCUUUCUUAUGAAGAUCAACACACACAAGGAAAUUAUCAGACAAUUUGUAACCAGAUAUGGGGGCAGUUUUAGAUAUAUGCAUGAAAAGAAAGUGAAAUCAAUGUUUUUAAGAUAAAAGCUUGAUGAUAUAACAAAAAUAUAACAGUGCUGAAUAUGAAAACCCCAUGCCAUGUCACAUGUAACUUUUGGAAUGCAGCAAUUUUCAGUAUGACAAUAAAAGGAAGGAUUUCAUUACUGUUAAAACUGACUCUGAAACAUUGAAGACAAAGAAAUAAAAUUUGUACAUCAGAGGAAAUGACUGUGCACUUCUUUUUUGAAGGAUCAACACACAAAAGGAAAUGUUCAUAUCAUUAUGCAUCAUGUGCAGUAGUUGAG
RNAcentral lists this long non-coding RNA (710 nucleotides) under Mytilus galloprovincialis (Mediterranean mussel). The record is from RNAcentral. Lineage: Eukaryota; Metazoa; Mollusca; Bivalvia; Mytilida; Mytilidae.